RNAcentral lists this ribosomal RNA (450 nucleotides) under uncultured bacterium. RNAcentral describes it as "bacterial SSU rRNA". It matches the Rfam family "Bacterial small subunit ribosomal RNA", at positions 340 to 784 of the family's 1533-position model. The record is from RNAcentral.
UACGGAAGGCAGCAGUGGGGAAUAUUGCACAAUGGGCGCAAGCCUGAUGCAGCCAUGCCGCGUGUAUGAAAAAGGCCUUCGGGUUGUAAAGUACUUUCAGUCGUGAGGAAGGUGUUAAGGUUAAUAACCUUAGCAAUUGACGUUAGCGACAGAAGAAGCACCGGCUAACUCCGUGCCAGCAGCCGCGGUAAUACGGAGGGUGCGAGCGUUAAUCGGAAUUACUGGGCGUAAAGGGCACGCAGGCGGUUAAUUAAGUUGGAUGUGAAUCCCCGGGCUUAACCUGGGAAUGGCAUUCAAGACUGGUUAGCUAGAGUCUUGUAGAGGGGGUAGAAUUCCAUGUGUAGCGGUGAAAUGCGUAGAGAUGUGGAGGAAUACCGGUGGCGAAGGCGGCCCCUGGACAAAGACUGACGCUCAUGUGCGAAAGCGUGGGGAGCAAACAGGGAUUAGAUA